RNAcentral lists this ribosomal RNA (450 nucleotides) under uncultured bacterium. Its description in RNAcentral is "partial 16S ribosomal RNA". It matches the Rfam family "Bacterial small subunit ribosomal RNA", at positions 354 to 796 of the family's 1533-position model. The record is from RNAcentral.
GUGGGGAAUCUUCCGCAAUGGACGAAAGUCUGACGGAGCAACGCCGCGUGAGUGAAGAAGGUUUUCGGAUCGUAAAGCUCUUUCGUUAGGGACGAACGUGCUCUUUGUGAAUAAUGAGGAGUAAUGACGGUACCUAAAUAAGAAGCCACGGCUAACUACGUGCCAGCAGCCGCGGUAAUACGUAGGUGGCAAGCGUUGUCCGGAAUUAUUGGGCGUAAAGCGCGCGCAGGCGGGAUAUCAAGUCUGUCUUAAAAGUGCGAGGCUCAACCUCGUGAGGGGACAGAAACUGGUAUUCUUGAGUGUCGGAGAGGAAAGUGGAAUUCCAAGUGUAGCGGUGAAAUGCGUAGAGAUUUGGAAGAACACCAGUGGCAAAGGCGACUUUCUGGACGAUGUCUGACGCUGAGGCACGAAAGCUAGGGGAGCGAACGGGAUUAGAUACCCCAGUAGUCC